Molecule: long non-coding RNA, 668 nt
Organism: Diceros bicornis minor
Lineage: Eukaryota; Metazoa; Chordata; Mammalia; Perissodactyla; Rhinocerotidae
Exons: 6
Source: RefSeq, a predicted model, not a curated record
AGCAAAAUAGCUGUGUUUUCAUUUUCUGUACGUUGUCUUGCACAGAGUAAAAUCUCUCAAAAACAACCAAUGAAAAAUUAUUUCCCACACUAUUCAUAAUGCUUACAGAAUAAAGAUAGAAUUAGUUAAAAGAGCAAGUCUUGGUCGAGUCUGCAAGUGUUGGCAAGUGUUAGGCAUGAAAUCAGCCAUCUGUGUUAAUGAAGAGUUUCCUGUCCGCCACCUGUCAGAUGUCCCUAUCGAAGUUCUCCACACUGAACCUCCAGCAAUUCAAUUACAGUUAAGAUUUUCCUGUCCUGGCCCUGGUUUCUGCAGAGGUUUCCACUUGUGAGUCUGCUCUGAUCUAAAAAGAGUUGAUGCUUUUUCAGUCUGUUCCGCAUUUUACUUGUUGUUAGGAUGGAGUGGUGAUUUCCAACAUGUCGAACUGGAAACUGGCCCUUGAUAAUCUUUUCAAAAGAUCUUCCCCUUCGAGGCACAAAGGAGGAACGUCUUGGCUGAAUGCUCUGAGGGUGGGUGCAGUCAAAGGACAAGUUCUGAACGCUCUGGAGACUAGAAGUCCAAAAUUAAGGUGCUGACUGGUCCACGCUCCCUCUGAAGCUUCCAAAGGAGAAUCCUUCCUUUCCUCUUCCAGCUUCCGGUAAGCCCCAGGCGUACAUUGGCUUGUAGAUGUG